Molecule: non-coding RNA, 552 nt
Organism: Gracilinanus agilis (Agile Gracile Mouse Opossum)
Lineage: Eukaryota; Metazoa; Chordata; Mammalia; Didelphimorphia; Didelphidae
Source: the annotation of a RefSeq genome assembly
UACAGGUGUUCAAGUGACAGAAUGAUCCCUCUGGCCCAUCUUCUCUGGCUACUGGCACUCUGGGUGCAGGGUUCCUAUGGCAAGGUUGUGCUGACACAGUCUCCAUCCUCUCUGUCUGCAAGUCCAGGAGAGAGAGUCACCAUGAACUGCAGGGCCAGUGAGAGUAUUACAUACAGUGAUGGUGACGACCUCUUAUACUGGUUCCAGCAGAAGCCUGGCCAAGCACCCAGGCGCCUCAUCUACUGGGCUACCAAUCUGGCAUCUGGAGUGCCAGACCGGUUCAGUGGCAGCAGGUCUGGGACAGAUUUCACUCUCAGCAUCAGCAGCCUGGAGCCUGAGGAUGCUGCAGUCUAUUACUGUCUGCAGAAUUUUAAGUUUCCUUACACAGUGAUAUAUUCUCGAACAAAAACCUCCCAAGGCUCAGGCCAGAUAAGCACCGCAGACCCAGGAGUCCGCAGUGCGAUAGAACCCCCUCUCACAAUAACACACGUUCGCGUUCACACUCACCUGGACCGCUGGGGGACUAGCAAUACUGAAAGGCGGAAACCCUAA